AGGCGAACCGGGGGAACUGAAACAUCUAAGUACCCCGAGGAAAAGAAAUCAACCGAGAUUCCCCCAGUAGCGGCGAGCGAACGGGGAGGAGCCCAGAGCCUGAAUCAGCAUGUGUGUUAGUGGAAGCGUCUGGAAAGGUGCGCGAUACAGGGUGACAGCCCCGUACACAAAAGCGCAUGUGCUGUGAGCUCGAUGAGUAGGGCGGGACACGUGGUAUCCUGUCUGAAUAUGGGGGGACCAUCCUCCAAGGCUAAAUACUCCUGACUGACCGAUAGUGAACCAGUACCGUGAGGGAAAGGCGAAAAGAACCCCGGCGAGGGGAGUGAAAAAGAACCUGAAACCGUGUACGUACAAGCAGUGGGAGCACAGGUUUACCUGUGUGACUGCGUACCUUUUGUAUAAUGGGUCAGCGACUUAUAUUCUGUAGCAAGGUUAACCGUAUAGGGGAGCCGUAGGGAAACCGAGUCUUAACCGGGCGUUAAGUUGCAGGGUAUAGACCCGAAACCCGGUGAUCUAGCCAUGGGCAGGUUGAAGGUUGGGUAACACUAACUGGAGGACCGAACCGACUAAUGUUGAAAAAUUAGCGGAUGACCUGUGGCUGGGGGUGAAAGGCCAAUCAAACCGGGAGAUAGCUGGUUCUCCCCGAAAGCUAUUUAGGUAGCGCCUCGUGAAUUCAUCUCCGGGGGUAGAGCACUGUUUCGGCUAGGGGGCCAUCCCGGCUUACCAACCCGAUGCAAACUGCGAAUACCGGAGAAUGUUAUCACGGGAGACACACGGCGGGUGCUAACGUCCGUCGUGAAGAGGGAAACAACCCAGACCGCCAGCUAAGGUCCCAAAGUCAUGGUUAAGUGGGAAACGAUGUGGGAAGGCCCAGACAGCCAGGAUGUUGGCUUAGAAGCAGCCAUCAUUUAAAGAAAGCGUAAUAGCUCACUGGUCGAGUCGGCCUGCGCGGAAGAUGUAACGGGGCUAAACCAUGCACCGAAG
Molecule: ribosomal RNA, 984 nt
Filed under: Salmonella enterica
Lineage: Bacteria; Pseudomonadati; Pseudomonadota; Gammaproteobacteria; Enterobacterales; Enterobacteriaceae
Description: partial 23S ribosomal RNA
Rfam family: Bacterial large subunit ribosomal RNA
Source: RNAcentral